This 448-nucleotide ribosomal RNA is filed under the name uncultured bacterium. RNAcentral's name for it is "bacterial SSU rRNA". It matches the Rfam family "Bacterial small subunit ribosomal RNA", at positions 329 to 793 of the family's 1533-position model. The record is from RNAcentral.
GCCCAGACUCCUACGGGAGGCAGCAGUGGGGAAUAUUGGACAAUGGGGGAAACCCUGAUCCAGCGACGCCGCGUGAGUGAAGAAGUAUUUCGGUACGUAAAGCUCUCUCAGCAGGAAAGAAAAUGACGGUACCUGACUAAGAAGCCCCGGCUAACUACGUGCCAGCAGCCGCGGUAAUACGUAGGGGGCAAGCGUUAUCCGGAUUUACUGGGUGUAAAGGGUGCGUAGGUGGCAUGGCAAGUCGGAAGUGAAAGCCCGGGGCUCAACCCCGCGGACUGCUUUUGAAACUGUCAGGCUGGAGUACAGGAGAGGUAAGCGGAAUUCCUAGUGUAGCGGUGAAAUGCGUAGAUAUUAGGAGGAACACCAGUGGCGAAGGCGGCUUACUGGACUGUAACUGACACUGAGGCACGAAAGCGUGGGGAGCAAACAGGAUUAGAUACCCGCGUAC